AUUUGUAAAGUUUAUAAAACACUUCAUUUUCAUUGAAGAGAUAAGCAAAAAUGCUUUAUAAAUA
RNAcentral lists this transfer RNA (64 nucleotides) under Tettigades opaca. RNAcentral describes it as "tRNA-Glu". The record is from RNAcentral. Lineage: Eukaryota; Metazoa; Arthropoda; Insecta; Hemiptera; Cicadidae.